This 259-nucleotide ribosomal RNA is filed under the name uncultured bacterium. Its description in RNAcentral is "partial 16S ribosomal RNA". It matches the Rfam family "Bacterial small subunit ribosomal RNA", at positions 524 to 777 of the family's 1533-position model. The record is from RNAcentral.
GACAGAGGCCCCAAGCGUUAGGCGGAAUCACUGGGCUUAAAAGCGUGUGUAGGCGGACGCCUAAGUGUCUUGUGAAAUCCCACGGCUCACCCGUGGAACUGCUGGGCAUACUGGGCGUCUUGGGCCAACUAGGGGCAGCCGGGAACAAGCGGUGGAGCGGUGAAAUGCGUAGAUAUCCGGAGGAACACCGGUGGCGAAGGCGGCUUCCUGGACCGACACUGACGCUGGAGGCGCGAAAAGCUAGGGGGAGCAAACGGGG